Long non-coding RNA from Monomorium pharaonis (pharaoh ant), 794 nucleotides. RefSeq lists it as uncharacterized. The transcript is spliced from 2 exons. Lineage: Eukaryota; Metazoa; Arthropoda; Insecta; Hymenoptera; Formicidae. The record is from RefSeq and is a predicted model, not a curated record.
AGACAACCCUACGUGACCAAGCCGCUCGAAUCUCUUUCCGCGUAAUCAAUUUUUUUUCCCGCGGACAGAAAUAUCUUUGGAGAAAAAAGAGAUUUCAUGCUGAACUAGUAAACAUUCUCUGUAAAAGUGAAAUAAGUGUGCUUGAAAUUAACGAAAGUGAGAAGAGAAAUUCUAAUGCAGUCCAGCGCAGCUAAUAAAAAAACAAAUGUAAUAUCCCUUUGAAAAAAGAUACGGCAUCGAGAGCGAUUAUAAAUUAAAAAAAAAAAAAAGUUUUUUUUGCUGCUCUAGCAACGGUCUCGAGAGAACGACGCAAUCUCCGAGAUGGAGACAGGAGAGUAGAGAUCAUGGACCCGCCAUCCAACGGUGAAGCCGGAAACCGAUCGGGCUCUCUUCUAUUGUGCGCGAUGAUCAACGGAAGAAUUUGGUAGCCAACAUCCCUUCGCUCAUUAACAUCACUAUACGCCACCGUAUAAAACUACAUUUUAUGUUCCUGCUUAUUUUACAUAUGCACGAUGUACGCUCUUGCCAAGUGCGUAUUUAUCCAAUAACGCAACUUCUAAAAUGCUAUUCAAUGAGAUUUCUAUUCAACGACUAAAUGCUAAACGUGACUCGAAGCAAAAUAUGACUCAAUGAUAAUGCAAGAAUGUCGGGUAAGAUUCUCGGCAGAUUCGACAAUCGAUCAGACAAGUCGCAUAUAAAUUGUUCGCCUGUUGAACGGAAGUUGAACGUACGAAAGGCAACGUGGAGAAUAGGAAAAAAAAAAAAAAAACAACAAAAUAAAUGACAAGAGGCAA